This 186-nucleotide unclassified non-coding RNA is filed under the name soil metagenome. Its description in RNAcentral is "partial internal transcribed spacer 1". The record is from RNAcentral.
CAAGAAGCCGAAAGGCUACUUAAAAACUCAUCGCGAAACUGUAAUCUCAAGUUUGCUUCGGCGGCGCGGCUCCCCCUCACGGGGGACCGCAGCCACCGCCCUCUCAGGAGGGUAAGGGGCAGCCCGCCGGAGGUACGAAAGCUCUGUAUUAGAGUGGUAUCUCUGAGGUAUAAAACAAAUAAGUUA